This 65-nucleotide transfer RNA is filed under the name Anadara cornea. RNAcentral's name for it is "tRNA-Leu". Lineage: Eukaryota; Metazoa; Mollusca; Bivalvia; Arcoida; Arcidae. The record is from RNAcentral.
GGCUCGAAUGGCAGAUAAAUGUAAUUGGUUUAGGUCCAAUUGAUGGGGGUUUUCCCCUUCGGGUU